UUGUGCUGAGUGACGCCAAAUUUCCCUGAAAACUACAUGUAGAAAGGUCCUGGAAAGUGAUUCUUAGCCGAAAUCCAUGACCCUAACCCGAACCCUAACCCUAACCCUAACCCUAACCCUAGCCUCAACCCUAACCCUAACCCUAGCCCUGACCCUAGCCCGAACCUCAACCCUUACCCUAACCCUAACCCUGACCCUAGCCCUGACCCUAGACCGAACAUCAACCCGUACACAAACCCUAAUCCUAACCCCUAACCCCUACCCCGAGCUCAAACCCUAACCCUGGCCUCAACCCUAACCCUAACACUAGCCUCAUCAAUGACCCUAACCCUAACCCUAGCAUCAACCCUGACCCGAACCCUAACCCUAGCCUCAACCAUAACCCUAACCCUAACCCUAGCCUCGACCCUAACCCUAACCCUUACUCUAGCCUCACACAUAACCCUAACCCUAACCCUAGCCUCAACAUAACCCUAACUCUAACCCUAGCCUCAUCCACAACCCUAACCCUAACCCUAGCCUCAACCACAACCCUAACCCUAACCCUAACCCUAGCCUCAAACAUCACUCUAACCCUAACCCUAACCCUAGCCUCAAAUGUAACCCUAACCCAAACCCUAACCCUAGCCUCAGCCACAACUCUAACCCUAACCCUAACCCUAGCCUCAACCAUAACCCUAACCCUAGCCUCAAACAUCACUCUAACCGUAACCCUAACCCUAGCCUCAAAUAUCUCUCUAACCCUAACCCUAACCCUAGCCUCAACCACAACCCUAACCCUAACCCUAUCCCUAGCCUCAAACAUCACUCUAACCCUAACCCUAACCCUAGCCUCAAACGUAACCCUAACCCAAGCCUCAGCCAAAACCCUAACCCUAGCCUCAACCAUAACCCUAACCCUAACCCUAGCCUCAACCAUAACCAUAACCAUAACCCUAACCCUAGCCUCAACCAUAACCAUAACCCUAACCCUAGCCUCGAAAAGCUCUCUAACCCUAACCCUAACCCUAGCCUCAACCACAACCGUAACCCUAACCCUAACUCUAGCCUCAAAAAUCACCAUAACCCUAACCCUAACCCUAACCCUAGCCUCAGCCACAACCCUAACCCUAACCCGACCCUAGCCUCAACCAUAACCCUAACCCUAACCCUAACCCUAACCCUAGCCUCAACCACAACCCUAACCCUAACCCUAACCCUAGCCUCAAACAUAACUCUAACCCUAACCCUAACCCUAGCCUCAGCCACAACCCUAACCCUAACCCUAACCCUAGCCUCAGCCACAACCGUAACCCUAACCCUAACCCUAGCCUCAACCAUAACCCUAACCCUAACCCUAACCCUAGCCUCAACCACAACCCUAACCCUAACCCUAGCCCCAAAUAUCUCUCUAACCCUAACCCUAACCCUAACCCUAGCCUCAACCACAACCCUAACCCUAACCCUAACCCUAGCCUCAACCACUACCCUAACCCUAACCCUAACCCUAGCCCUAGCCUCAAACAUUACUCUAACCCUAACCCUAACCCUAGCCUCAAACAUAACUCUAACCCUAACCCUAACCCUAGCCUCAGCCACAACCCUAACCCUAACCCUAACCCUAGCCUCAGCCACAACCCUAACCCUAACCCUAACCCUAGCCUCAACCAUAACCCUAACCCUAACCCUAACCCUAGCCCCAAAUAUCUCUCUAACCCUAACCCGAACCCUAACCCUAGCCUCAACCAAAACCCUAACCCUAACCCUAACCCUAGCCUCAAACAUCACUCUAACCCUAACCCUAACCCUAGCCUCAAAAAUCACCAUAACCCUAACCCUAACCCUAGCCACAACCGUAACCCUAACCCUAUCCUCAACAAUAACCCUAACCCUAACCCUAGCCUCAACCACACACCUAACCCUAACCCUAGCCCUGGCCUCAAACAUCACUCUAACCCUAACCCUAGCCUCAAACAUAACUCUAACCCUAACCCUAACCCUAGCCUCAGCCACAACCGUAACCCUAACCCUAACCCUAGCCUCAACCAUAACCCUAACCCUAACCCUAACCCUAGCCUCAACCACAACCCUAACCCUAACCCUAGCCCCAAAUAUCUCUCUAACCCUAACCCUAACCCUAACCCUAGCCUCAACCACAACCCUAACCCUAACCCUAACCCUAGCCUCAACCACUACCCUAACCCUAACCCUAGCCCUAGCCUCAAACAUUACUCUAACCCUAACCCUAACCCUAGCCUCAAACAUAACUCUAACCCUAACCCUAACCCUAGCCUCAGCCAAAACCCUAACCCUAACCCUAACCCUAGCCUCAGCCACAACCGUAACCCUAACCCUAACCCUAACCCUAGCCUCAACCGUAACCCUAACCCUAACCCUAACCCUAGCCUCAACCACAACCCUAACCCUAACCCUAACCCUAGCCCCAAAUAUCUCUCUAACCCUAACCCAAACCCUAACCCUAGCCUCAACCAAAACCCUAACCCUAACCCUAACCCUAGCCUCAAACAUCACUCUAACCCUAACCCUAACCCUAGCCUCAAAAAUCACCAUAACCCUAACCCUAACCCUAGCCACAACCGUAACCCUAACCCUAUCCUCAACAAUAACCCUAACCCUAACCCUAGCCUCAACCACACACCUAACCCUAACCCUAGCCCUGGCCUCAAACAUCACUCUAACCCUAACCCUAGCCUCAAACAUAACUCUAACCCUAACCCUAACCCUAACCCUAACCCUAGCCUCAACCACAACCCUAACCCUAACCCUAACCCUAGCCUCAACCAUAACCCUAACCCUAAACCUAGCCUCAACCACAACCCUAACCCUAACCCUAACCCUAACCCUAACCCUAGCCUCAACCACAACCCUAACCCUAACCCUAACCCUAGCCUCAAACAUCACUCUAACCCUAACCCUAACCCUAGCCUCAAAAAUCACCAUAACCCUAACCCUAACCCUAGCCACAACCGUAACCCUAACCCUAUCCUCAACAAUAACCCUAACCCUAACCCUAGCCUCAACCACACACCUAACCCUAACCCUAGCCCUGGCCUCAAACAUCACUCUAACCCUAACCCUAGCCUCAAACAUAACUCUAACCCUAACCCUAACCCUAGCCUCAGCCACAACCCUAACCCUAACCCUAACCCUAGCCUCAACCAUAACCCUAACCCUAACCCUAACCCUAGCCUCAACCACAACCCUAACCCUAACCCUAGCCCCAAAUAUCUCUCUAACCCUAACCCUAACCCUAACCCUAACCCUAGCCUCAACCACAACCCUAACCCUAACCCUAGCCCCAAAUAUCUCUCUAACCCUAACCCUAACCCUAACCCUAGCCUCAACCACAACCCUAACCCUAACCCUAACCCUAGCCUCAACCACUACCCUAACCCUAACCCGAACCCUAACCCUAGCCUCAAACAUUACUCUAACCCUAACCCUAACCCUAGCCUCAAACAUAACUCUAACCCUAACCCUAACCCUAGCCUCAGCCAAAACCCUAACCCUAACCCUAACCCUAGCCUCAGCCACAACCGUAACCCUAACCCUAACCCUAACCCUAGCCUCAACCAUAACCCUAACCCUAACCCUAACCCUAGCCUCAACCACAACCCUAACCCUAACCCUAACCCUAGCCCCAAAUAUCUCUCUAACCCUAACCCGAACCCUAACCCUAGCCUCAACCAAAACCCUAACCCUAACCCUAACCCUAGCCUCAAACAUCACUCUAACCCUAACCCUAACCCUAGCCUCAAAAAUCACCAUAACCCUAACCCUAACCCUAGCCACAACCGUAACCCUAACCCUAUCCUCAACAAUAACCCUAACCCUAACCCUAGCCUCAACCACACACCUAACCCUAACCCUAGCCCUGGCCUCAAACAUCACUCUAACCCUAACCCUAGCCUCAAACAUAACCCUAACCCUAACCCUAACCCUAACCCUAGCCUCAACCACAACCCUAACCCUAACCCUAACCCUAGCCUCAACCAUAACCCUAACCCUAAACCUAGCCUCAACCACAACCCUAACCCUAACCCUAACCCUAACCCUAGCCUCAACCACAACCCUAACCCUAACCCUAACCCUAGCCUCAAACAUCACUCUAACCCUAACCCUAACCCUAACCCUAGCCUCAAAAAUCACCAUAACCCUAACCCUAACCCUAGCCACAACCGUAACCCUAACCCUAUCCUCAACAAUAACCCUAACCCUAACCCUAGCCUCAACCACACACCUAACCCUAACCCUAGCCCUGGCCUCAAACAUCACUCUAACCCUAACCCUAGCCUCAAACAUAACUCUAACCCUAACCCUAACCCUAGCCUCAGCCACAACCCUAACCCUAACCCUAACCCUAGCCUCAACCAUAACCCUAACCCUAACCCUAACCCUAGCCUCAACCACAACCCUAACCCUAACCCUAGCCCCAAAUAUCUCUCUAACCCUAACCCUAACCCUAACCCUAACCCUAGCCUCAACCACAACCCUAACCCUAACCCUAGCCCCAAAUAUCUCUCUAACCCUAACCCUAACCCUAGCCUCAACCACAACCCUAACCCUAACCCUAACCCUAGCCUCAACCACUACCCUAACCCUAACCCGAACCCUAACCCUAGCCUCAAACAUUACUCUAACCCUAACCCUAACCCUAGCCUCAAACAUAACUCUAACCCUAACCCUAACCCUAGCCUCAGCCAAAACCCUAACCCUAACCCUAACCCUAGCCUCAGCCACAACCGUAACCCUAACCCUAACCCUAACCCUAGCCUCAACCAUAACCCUAACCCUAACCCUAACCCUAGCCUCAACCACAACCCUAACCCUAACCCUAACCCUAGCCCCAAAUAUCUCUCUAACCCUAACCCGAACCCUAACCCUAGCCUCAACCAAAACCCUAACCCUAACCCUAACCCUAGCCUCAAACAUCACUCUAACCCUAACCCUAACCCUAGCCUCAAAAAUCACCAUAACCCUAUCCUCAACAAUAACCCUAACCCUAACCCUAGCCUCAACCACACACCUAACCCUAACCCUAGCCCUGGCCUCAAACAUCACUCUAACCCUAACCCUAGCCUCAAACAUAACUCUAACCCUAACCCUAACCCUAACCCUAACCCUAGCCUCAACCACAACCCUAACCCUAACCCUAACCCUAGCCUCAACCAUAACCCUAACCCUAAACCUAGCCUCAACCACAACCCUAACCCUAACCGUAACCCUAACCCUAGCCUCAACCACAACCCUAACCCUAACCCUAACCCUAGCCUCAAACAUAACUCUAACCCUAACCCUAACCCUAGCCUCAGCCACAACCCUAACCCUAACCCUAACCCUAGCCUCAGCCACAACCGUAACCCUAACCCUAACCCUAGCCUCAACCAUAACCCUAACCCUAACCCUAACCCUAACCCUAGCCUCAACCACAACCCUAACCCUAACCCUAGCCCCAAAUAUCUCUCUAACCCUAACCCUAACCCUAACCCUAGCCUCAACCACAACCCUAACCCUAACCCUAACCCUAGCCUCAACCACUACCCUAACCCUAACCCUAACCCUAGCCCUAGCCUCAAACAUUACUCUAACCCUAACCCUAACCCUAGCCUCAAACAUAACUCUAACCCUAACCCUAACCCUAGCCUCAGCCACAACCCUAACCCUAACCCUAACCCUAGCCUCAGCCACAACCGUAACCCUAACCCUAACCCUAGCCUCAACCAUAACCCUAACCCUAACCCUAACCCUAGCCUCAACCACAACCCUAACCCUAACCCUAACCCUAGCCCCAAAUAUCUCUCUAACCCUAACCCGAACCCUAACCCUAGCCUCAACCAAAACCCUAACCCUAACCCUAACCCUAGCCUCAAACAUCACUCUAACCCUGACCCUAACCCUAGCCUCAAAAAUCACCAUAACCCUAACCCUAACCCUAGCCACAACCGUAACCCUAACCCUAUCCUCAACAAUAACCCUAACCCUAACCCUAGCCUCAACCACACACCUAACCCUAACCCUAGCCCUGGCCUCAAACAUCACUCUAACCCUAACCCUAGCCUCAAACAUAACUCUAACCCUAACCCUAACCCUAGCCUCAGCCACAACCGUAACCCUAACCCUAACCCUAGCCUCAACCAUAACCCUAACCCUAACCCUAACCCUAGCCUCAACCACAACCCUAACCCUAACCCUAGCCCCAAAUAUCUCUCUAACCCUAACCCUAACCCUAACCCUAGCCUCAACCACAACCCUAACCCUAACCCUAACCCUAGCCUCAACCACUACCCUAACCCUAACCCUAACCCUAGCCCUAGCCUCAAACAUUACUCUAACCCUAACCCUAACCCUAGCCUCAAACAUAACUCUAACCCUAACCCUAACCCUAGCCUCAGCCCCAAACCCUAACCCUAACCCUAACCCUAGCCUCAGCCACAACCGUAACCCUAACCCUAACCCUAGCCUCAACCAUAACCCUAACCCUAACCCUAACCCUAGCCUCAACUACAACCCUAACCCUAACCCUAACCCUAGCCCCAAAUAUCUCUCUAACCCUAACCCGAACCCUAACCCUAGCCUCAACCAAAACCCUAACCCUAACCCUAACCCUAGCCUCAAACAUCACUCUAACCCUAACCCUAACCCUAGCCUCAAAAAUCACCAUAACCCUAACCCUAACCCUAACCCUGGCCACAACCGUAACCCUAACCCUAUCCUCAACAAUAACCCUAACCCUAACCCUAGCCUCAACCACACACCUAACCCUAACCCUAGCCCUGGCCUCAAACAUCACUCUAACCCUAACCCUAGCCUCAAACAUAACUCUAACCCUAACCCUAACCCUAACCCUAACCCUAGCCUCAACCACAACCCUAACCCUAACCCUAACCCUAGCCUCAACCAUAACCCUAACCCUAAACCUAGCCUCAACCACAACCCUAACCCUAACCCUAACCCUAACCCUAACCCUAGCCUCAACCACAACCCUUACCCUAACCCUAACCCUAGCCCUAGCCUCAAACAUUACUCUAACCCUAACCCUAACCCUAGCCUCAAACAUAACUCUAACCCUAACCCUAACCCUAGCCUCAGCCACAACCCUAACCCUAACCCUAACCCUAGCCUCAGCCACAACCGUAACCCUAACCCUAACCCUAGCCUCAACCAUAACCCUAACCCUAACCCUAACCCUAGACUCAACCACAACCCUAACCCUAACCCUAACCCUAGCCCCAAAUAUCUCUCUAACCCUAACCCGAACCCUAACCCUAGCCUCAACCAAAACCCUAACCCUAACCCUAACCCUAGCCUCAAACAUCACUCUAACCCUAACCCUAACCCUAGCCUCAAAAAUCACCAUAACCCUAACCCUAACCCUAGCCACAACCGUAACCCUAACCCUAUCCUCAACAAUAACCCUAACCCUAACCCUAGCCUCAACCACACACCUAACCCUAACCCUAGCCCUGGCCUCAAACAUCACUCUAACCCUAACCCUAGCCUCAAACAUAACUCUAACCCUAACCCUAACCCUAGCCUCAGCCACAACCGUAACCCUAACCCUAACCCUAGCCUCAACCAUAACCCUAACCCUAACCCUAACCCUAGCCUCAACCACAACCCUAACCCUAACCCUAGCCCCAAAUAUCUCUCUAACCCUAACCCUAACCCUAACCCUAGCCUCAACCACAACCCUAACCCUAACCCUAACCCUAGCCUCAACCACUACCCUAACCCUAACCCUAACCCUAGCCCUAGCCUCAAACAUUACUCUAACCCUAACCCUAACCCUAGCCUCAGCCACAACCCUAACCCUAACCCGACCCUAGCCUCAACCAUAACCCUAACCCUAACCCUAGCCUCAACCACAACCCUAACCCUAACCCUAGCCCUAGCCUCAAAUAUCACUCUAACCCUAACCCUAACUCUAGCCUAAAACAUAACCCUAACCCUAACCCUAACCCUAGCCUCAACCACAACCCUAACCCUAACCCUAACCCAAGCCUCAGCCACAACCCUAACCCUAACCCUAACCCUAGCCUCAACCAUAACCCUAACCCUAACCCUAGCCCCAAAUAUCUCUCUAACCCUAACCCUAACCCUAACCCUAGCCUCAACCACAACCCUAACCCUAACCCUAAUCCUAGCCUCAAACAUCACUCUAACCCUAACCCUAACCCUAGCCUCAAAAAUCACCAUAACCCUAACCCUAACCCUAACCCUAGCCACAACCGUAACCCUAACCCUAGCCUCAACAAUAACCCUAACCCUAACCCUAACCCUAGCCUCAACCACAACCCUAACCCUAACCCUAGCCCUGGCCUCAAACAUCACUCUAACCCUAACCCUAGCCUCAAACAUAACUCUAACCCUAACCCUAACCCUAACCCUAACCCUAGCCUCAACCACAACCCUAACCCUAACCCUAACCCUAGCCUCAACCAUAACCCUAACCCUAAACCUAGCCUCAACCACAACCCUAACCCUAACCCUAACCCUAACCCUAACCCUAGCCUCGAAAAGCUCUUUAACCCCAACCCUAACCCUAGCCUCAGCCACAACCCUAACCCUAACCCGACCCUAGCCUCAACCAUAACCCUAACCCUAACCCUAACCCUAGCCUCAACCACAACCCUAACCCUAACCCUAGCCCUAGCCUCAAAUAUCACUCUAACCCUAACCCUAACCCUAGCCUAAAACAUAACUCUAACCCUAACCCUAACCCUAGCCUCAGCCACAACCCUAACCCUAAACCUAACCCUAGGCUCAGCCACAACCGUAACCCUAACCCUAACCCUAGCCUCAACCAUAACCCUAACCCUAACCCUAACCCUAGCCUCAACCACAACCCUAACCCUAACCCUAACCCUAGCCCCAAAUAUCUCUCUAACCCUAACCCUAACCCUAACCCUAGCCUCAACCACAACCCUAACCCUAACCCUAACCCUAGCCUCAAACAUCACUCUAACCCUAACCCUAACCCUAGCCUCAAAAAUCACAAUAACCCUAACCCUAACCCUAACCUUAGCCACAACCGUAACCCUAACCCUAGCCUCAAAAAUAACCCUAACCCUAACCCUAACCCUAGCCUCAACCACAACCCUAACCCUAACCCUAGCCCUGGCCUCAAACAUCACUCUAACCCUAACCCUAGCCUCAAACAUAACUCUAACCCUAACCCUAACCCUAGCCUCAACCAUAACCCUAACCCUAACCCUAACCCUAGCCUCAACCACAACCCUAACCCUAACCCUAACCCUAACCCUAGCCUUAAACACAACCCUAACCCUAACCCUAAAACUAGCCUCAAACAUCACUCUAACCCUAACCCUAACCCUAGCCUCAGCCACAACCCUAACGCUAAACCUAACCCUAGCCUCAGCCACAACCGUAACCCUAACCCUAACCCUAGCCUCAACCGUAACCCUAACCCUAACCCUAACCCUAGCCUCAACCACAACCCUAACCCUAACCCUAACCCUAGCCCCAAAUAUCUCUCUAACCCUAACCCUAACCCUAACCCUAACCCUAGCCUCAACCACAACCCUAACCCUAACCCUAACCCUAGCCUCAAACAUCACUCUAACCCUAACCCUAACCCUAGCCUCAAAAAUCACAAUAACCCUAACCCUAACCCUAGCCACAACCGUAACCCUAACCCUAGCCUCAACAAUAACCCUAACCCUAACCCUAACCCUAGCCUCAACCACAACCCUAACCCUAACCCUAGCCCUGGCCUCAAACAUCACUCUAACCCUAACCCUAGCCUCAAACAUAACUCUAACCCUAACCCUAACCCUAGCCUCAACCAUAACCCUAACCCUAACCCUAACCCUAGCCUCAACCACAACCCUAACCCUAACCCUAACCCUAACCCUAGCCUUAAACACAACCCUAACCCUAACCCUAACACUAGCCUCAAACAUCACUCUAACCCUAACCCUAACCCUAGCCUCAGCAACAACCCUAACCCUAACCCUAACCCUGGCCUCAGCCACAACCGUAACCCUAACCCUAACCCUAGUCUCAACCAUAACCCUAACCCUAACCGUAACCCUAGCCUCAACCACAACCCUAACCCUAACCCUAGCCCUGGCCUCAAACAUCACUCUAACCCUAACCCUAGCCUCAAACAUGACUCUAACCCUAACCCUAACCCUAACCCUAGCCUCAACCACAACCCUAACCCUAACCCUAACCCUAGCCUCAACCAUAACCCUAACCCUAACCCUAACUCUAGCCUCAACCACAACCCUAACCCUAACCCUAACCCUAACCCUAGCCUCAACCAAAACCCUAACCCUAGCCCCAAAUAUCUCUCUAACCCUAACCCUAACCCUAACCCUAGCCCCAAAUAUCUCUCUAACCCUAACCCUAACCCUAACCCUAGCCUCAGCCACAACCCUAACCCUAACCCUAGCCUCAGCCACAACCGUAACCCUAACCCUAACCCUAGCCUCAACCACAACCCUAACCCUAACCCUAACCCUAGCCUCGAAAAGCUCUCUAACCCUAACCCUAACCCUAGCCUCAACCACAACCGUAACCCUAACCCCCAACUCUAGCCUCGAAAAUCACCAUAACCCUAACCCUAACCCUAGCCUCAGCCACAACCCUAACCCUAACCCGACCCUAGCCUCAACCAUAACCCUAACCCUAACCCUAGCCUCAACCACAACCCUAACCCUAACCCUAGCCCUAGCCUCAAAUAUCACUCUAACCCUAACCCUAACUCUAGCCUAAAACAUAACCCUAACCCUAACCCUAACCCUAGCCUCAACCACAACCCUAACCCUAACCCUAACCCAAGCCUCAGCCACAACCCUAACCCUAACCCUAACCCUAGCCUCAACCAUAACCCUAACCCUAACCCUAGCCCCAAAUAUCUCUCUAACCCUAACCCUAACCCUAACCCUAGCCUCAACCACAACCCUAACCCUAACCCUAAUCCUAGCCUCAAACAUCACUCUAACCCUAACCCUAACCCUAGCCUCAAAAAUCACCAUAACCCUAACCCUAACCCUAACCCUAGCCACAACCGUAACCCUAACCCUAGCCUCAACAAUAACCCUAACCCUAACCCUAACCCUAGCCUAAACCACAACCCUAACCCUAACCCUAGCCCUGGCCUCAAACAUCACUCUAACCCUAACCCUAGCCUCAAACAUAACUCUAACCCUAACCCUAACCCUAGCCUCAACCACAACCCUAACCCUAACCCUAGCCUCAACCAUAACCCUAACCCUAACCCUGACCCUAGCCUCAACCACAACCCUAACCCUAACCCUAACCCUAGCCUCAACCACAACCCUAACCCUAACCCUAACCCUAGCCUCAAACAUCACUCUAACCCUAACCCUAACCCUAGCCUCAAAAAUCACCAUAACCCUAACCCUAACCCUAACCCUAGCCACAACCGUAACCCUAACCCUAGCCUCAACAAUAACCCUAACCCUAACCCUAACCCUAGCCUCAGCCACAACCCUAACCCUAACCCUAACCCUAGCCUCAAACAUAACUCUAACCCUAACCCUAACCCUAGCCUCAACCACAACCCUAAAACUAACCCUAACCCUAGCCUCAACCAUAACCCUAACCCUAACCCUAGCCUCAACCACAACCCUAACCCUAACCCUAGCCUCAACCACAACCCUAACCCUAACCCUAACCCUAGCCUCAGUCACAACCCUAACCCUAACCCUAGCCCCAAAUAUCUCUCUAACCCUAACACUAACCCUAACCCUGGCCUCAGCCACAACCCUAACCCUAACCCUAACCCUAGCCUCAGCCUCAACCGUAACCCUAACCCUAGCCUCAACCAUAACCCUAACCCUAACCCUUACCCUAACCCUAGCCUCAACCGUAACCCUUACCCUAACCCUAACCCUAGCCUCAACCACAACCCUAACCCUAACCCUAACCCUAACCCUGGCCUCAACCACAACCCUAACCCUAGCCUCAAUCACAACCCUAACCCUAACCCUAACCCUAGCCCCAAAUAUCUCUCGAACCCUAACCCUAACCCUAACCCUAGCCUCAACCACAACCCUAACCCUAACCCUAACCCUAGCCUCAAACAUCACUCUAACCCUAACCCUAACCCUAGCCUCAACCACAACCCUAACCCUAACCCUAACCCUAACCCUAGCCACAACUGUAACCCUAACCCUAGCCUCAACAAUAACCCUAGCCCUAACCCUAGCCUCAACCACAACACUAACCCUAACCCUAGCCCUGUCCUCAAACAUCACUAUAACCCUAACCCUAACCCUAGCCUCAAACAUAACUCUAACUCUAACCCUAGCCCUAGCCUCAACCACAACCCUAACCCUAACCCUAGCCUCAAACGUCACUCUAACCCUAACCCUAACCCUAGCCUCAAAAAUCACCAUAAUCCUAACCCUAACCCUAACCCUAGCCACAACCGUAACCCUAACCCUAGCCUCAACAAUAACCCUAACCCUAACCCUAACCCUACCCUCAACCACAACCCUAACCCUAACCCUAGCCCUGGCCUCAAACAUCACUCUAACCCUAACCCUAGCCUCAAACAUAACUCUAACCCUAACCCUAACCCUAACCCUAGCCUCAACCACAACCCUAACACUAACCCUAGCCCCAAAUAUCUCUCUAACCCUAACCCUAACCCUAACCCUAACCCUGGCCUCAGCCACAACCCUAACCCUAACCCUAACCCUAGCCUCAGCCAUAACCGUAACCCUAACCCUAACCCUAGCCUCAACCAUAACCCUAACCCUAACCCUAACCCUAGCCUCAACCACAACCCUAACCCUAACCCUAACCCUAGCCUCAACCGUAACCCUAACCCCAACCCUAACCCUAGCCUCAACCACAACCCUAACCCUAACCCUAACCCUGGCCUCAACCACAACCCUAACCCUAACCCUAACCCUAGCCUCAAUCACAACCCUAACCCUAACCCUAGCCCUGGCCUCAAACAUCACUCUAACCCUAACCCUAACCCUAGCCUCAUACAUAACUCUAACCCUAACCCUAACCCUAGCCUCAGCCAAAACCCUAACCCUAACCCUAACCCUAACCCUAGGCUCAGCCACAACCCUAACCCUAACCUUAGCCUCAACCAUAACCCUAACCCUAACCCUAACCCUAGCCUCAACCACAACCCUAACCCUAACCCUAGCCUCAACCAUAACCCUAACCCUAACCCUAACCUUAGCCUCAACCACAACCCUAACCCUAACCCUAGCCUCAAACGUAACCCUAACCCUAGCCUCAGCCAAAACCCUAACCCUAGCCUCAACCAUAACGCUAACCCUAACCCUAGCCUCAACCAUAACCAUAACCCUAACCCUAAGCCUAGCCUCGAAAAGCUCUCUCACCCUAACCCUAACCCUAGCCUCAACCACAACCGUGACCCUAACCCUAACCCUAGCCUCAAAAAUCACCAUAACCCUAACCCUAACCCUAGCCCUAGCCUCAGCCACAACCCUAACCCUAACCCUAACCCUACCCUCAACGAUAACCCUAUCCCUAACCCUAACCCUAGCCUCAGCCACAACCCUAACCCUAACCCUAACCCUAGCCUCAACGAGAACCCUAACCCUAACCCUAACCCUAGCCUCAACCACAACCCUAACCCUAACCCUAGCCCUAGACUCAAACAUCACUCUAACCCUAACCCUAACCCUAGCCUCAAACAAAACUCUAACCCUAACCCUAACCCUAGCCUCAGCCACAACCCUAACCCUAACCCUAACCCUAGCCUCAGCCACAACCCUAACCCUAACCCUAACCCUAGCCUCAGCCAUAACCCUAACCCUAACCCGAGCCUCAACCACAACCCUAACCCUAACCCUAACCCUAGCCUAAACCACAACCCCAACCCUAACCCUAACCCUAGCAUCAAAUAUCUCUCUAACCCUAACCCUAACCCUAGCCUCAAACAUCACUCUAACCCUAACCCUAACCCUAGCCUCAAACGUAACCCUAACCCUAACCCUAGCCUCAGCCACAACCCUAACCCUGGCCUCAAAUAUCUCUCUAACCCCAACCCUAACCCUAGCCUCAACCACAACCCUAACUCUAGCCUCAACAACAAGACUACCCCUAACCCUAACCCUAUCCUCACACGUAACCCUAACCCUAGCCUCAAACGUAACCCUAACCCUAACCCUAGCCUCAACCCUAACCCAAACCCUAACCCUAGCCUCAACGAUAACCCUAACCCUAACCCUAACCCUAGCCUCAACCACAGCCCUAACCUUAACCCUAGCCCUAGCCUCAAACAUCACGCUAACCCUAAUCCUAACCCUAGCCUCAAACAAAACUCUAACCCUAACCCUAACCCUAGCCUCAGCCACAACCCUAACCCUAACCCUAACCCUAGCCUCAACCACAACCCUAACCCUAACCCUAACCCAAGCCUCAGCCACAAUCCUAACCCUAACCCUAGCCUCAACCACAACCCUAACCCUAACCCUAACCCUAGCCUCAACCAUAACCCUAACCCUAACCCUAGCCUCAACCACAACCCUAACCCUAACCCUAACCCUAGCCUCAACCAUAACCCUAACCCUAAGCCUAACCCUAGCCUCAACCACAACCCUAACCCUAACCCUAGCCUCAACCACAACCCUAACCCUAACCCUAGCCUCAAAUAUCUCUCUAACCCUAACCCUAACCCUAGCCUCAAACAUCACUCUAACCCUAACCCUAACCCUAGCCUCAAACGUAACCCUAACCCUAACCCUAACCCUAGCCUCAGCCACAACCCUAACCCUAACCCUAGCCUCAACCAUAACCCUUACCCUAACCUCAAACAACACUCUUACCCUAACCCUAGCCUCAACCACAACCCUAACCCUAACCCUAACCCUAGCCUCAACCAUAACCCUAACCCUAAGCCUAACCCUAGCCUCAAACAUCACUCUAACCCUAACCCUAACCCUAGCCUCAAACGUAACCCUAACCCUAACCCUAACCCUAGCCUCAACCACAACCCUAACCCUAACCCUAACCCUAGCCUCAAACAUCACUCUAACCCUAACCCUAACCCUAGCCUCAAACUGACCCUAACCCUAACUCUAGCCUCAGCCACAACCCUAACCCUAUCCUCAACCUUAACCCUAACCCUAGCCUCAAACAUCACUCUAACCUUAACCCUAACCCUAGCCUAAACCACAACCCUAACCCUAACCCUAACCCUAGCCUCAUGAGAACCCUAACCCUAACCCUAGCCUCAAAUAUCUCUCUAACCCUAACCCUAACCCUAGCCUCAACCACAACCCUAACCCUAACCCUAGCCUCAAACAUAACCCUAACCCUAAUCCUAACCCUAGCCUCAACCACAACCCUAACCCUAACUCUAGCCUCAAACAUCACUCUACCCCUAACCCUAGCCUCAAACGUAACCCUAACCCUAACCCUAACCCUAACCCUAGCCUCAGCCACAACCCUAACCCUAACCCUGGCCUCAAAUAUCUCCCUAACCCUAACCCUAACCCUAGCCUCAAACGUAACUCUAACACUCACCCUAACCCUAGCCUCAACCACAACCCUUACCCUAACCCUAGCCUCAACACUAACCCUAAGCAGAAUGAUUGCAGUCCCGACCACCUGCUUCUCCCUUCCCCAUCCUCUGACACUUUGUACUAAAGCACCCUAACCUUACUCCUUUAGAUACAUUUCACUCUAUUCCCUCCCUUUCCUAUUCCUUCUUAAUAUGCAAAACUCGUUUUGUAUAACCCUUCACCAUACCUACUGUAAUUCCCAACUGAACCUCCAAAAAUAAUUUCUCUACAAACACAUAGUCUAAAGCAGUGGUCUCCGUAUGGCAGACCGCGGUCCACUUCCGGACCAGGAAAGAGUCCAAUACGGACCCGAGCCUACCGCAGAAAAAUGUAUGUUAUUUUUCUCUCUUGUAGGCCUGCACGAUAUACAUGUGUGCGAUAGUCACAUUGCAGAGCCUGUGAUGUCGGAGGUGAAUGAACUCAGUUAAUUUCAAGGGUAGCCGACUGAGAUACACUGCAUGUGACUCUGCAUGUGCUGUGUAGCGAUCCACCAAUAACCUUUGUCCUUUACUCAGUUGCCAAUCAGACUCAGUUCUCAGUUGCCAAUCAGACUACCCUGCCAGCUUGUCAAUCAAAAUCAGAGAGGAGGAAACCCACCCCUGCACAUGUUCUGCACAUGGAGGUACUCGCUGGCUGCUGGUGUUGAGCCGAGAAACGCGUGUCCGCUGAGAAUUACUUUCGGAACUUUACUGACUGUUAAGCCCAACAAAUAAGAACUGUAUGGGUUUUAAAUUGUACAUUUCCGUGGACCACGCUAUUAUAAGCGUUGCGCGUUUUGCGAGGUGCAUGCAAUUCUUGGCACACUUGCGUUUCUCGGCACAACACCGCUAACAACAACAACAACGAUUGCAAAAUGAGCAACGAACAAGAGAAAACCACCGAAAAUUAAGAUUUGUUGCCAAAAAGAAAAGGAAAGUCAGUUAUCUGGAAUUAUUUUGGUUAAAAGAAGGAUGAUGUUGACCAAAACAUGUGUUCUGUGUUCAUCUGUCGCCACAAUAACGUCCCAGCACAAUAAAAGCUAAAAAAUAUCUCUGAGACAGACAGAAGCCAUUCUAACAUUCACAAAAAGAGGUAAGAUCAGUGCAGGUUAACUGUCCUCAAGAUUUCAGCGGUGCAGCAUAACAUUAAAUGCUAUUCAGGUCAUCUGUUGAAAAUUCCUAUAUUUUUAAUAUCGCAAUAUAUAUCGCAGGGUUGAAAAAAAUCACAAUGUUAGUUUUUUCCGAUAUCGUGCAGCCUUACUCUCUUGCUUUGUGCCUGGUACAGUAAACUGCACGUGCAAUUUCAGCAAGGCAUUACAUCACUUGCUUACUCGCUUGACUUGUCAAUCAAAUCAGACCUCUUAGCCUACUCGACACACGAAGAUUACCGAGCAAUCCCGAUGUUGAAAACUGUCAGGCGGCAGACUGAGGAGAAAGUUGUAGCAGCAGCUAAACAUGUCGGCUUCAAAACCACGAAAGGUAGAGAAUGAGAACAGGUUGUUUUAUGGCGAGUGGACUGAGUCGUUUGCAUUCAUUUUACCCGCAGGAAGCACACAGCCAAUUGAAAGUAGGCAGUUAUUGGCAAUACAAAUGAAGUGAAUAUUUCAAAAGAGUAAUGCACUGUAAAAAAAAUAAAUAAAUAAAAAUCCCUAGACCCAGGCCUGCAGGCAUUUCAUUCGGGUGGACCCACUGAAAAUUUAUAUGAAGACCCCUGGUCUAAAGGAUAGACAGAUAGAUAGAUAGAUACCAAUUGAGCUGAGUAAUUAAACUUACUGUCCACACAUAAUUUUUUCACACAGAUUGAGCUCUGAGUCUCGACUGGGAACAUGUGACAGGUCGACAUGCGCCAGCCAGUGCAAGCCCUUGAUUAGCCUACCCCAAACCGCCAAGUCAGCUGACGAAAGUGGGGGCUAUCACUGUACCCACACCUAACCCUAGACCUGACACCAAACCUAACCCUAAUCCUAGCCCUAACCCUUACCCAUACCUAACCCUUGCCCCAACCCUAACCCAGCCUCAACCCUAACCCUAUCUUUAACCAUAACCCUUGUCCCAACCCUAACCCUAUCCCAAUCCUAAAUCUAACCCCAGCCCCAACCCUAGCCUCAACCCUUCCCCUAACCCUAAAUCCAACCCUAAUCCUAGCCCUAAUCCUAACCCUAGUCCCAACCCUAACCCUACCCCUAACCCUAAUGCCAUAACCUUAUCCCUUACCCUAACAUCCUAACCCUAGCUUAAUUCCUUUUUUUUUUGACAUUUUUCCUUUUUUUUUUUGUAUUAAAUGACUCCAAAUUGUCUGAAACAUACUUCUAAAACGGUCCUGGACAGUGAUUUUAACCCUAACCCCAUAACCCUUACCCUGAGUGAAUUAUCAGUAAAGUGUGCAAAAAAUAUCAAGUAUCAAGGUGCAAAUAGACACAGACAAAAUAAACAUGCUGUAAAUUUGUACCAGGGUAAAUAAUGCAAUUAUUCUGCUUUUUAGGCAUCACAUGGUUACGAUGUUUGACAAUCUGAUAAGCCAGCUGUGGUUUUAACUGUAUGACAGUUAACAUCAGACGUGACACCUCGAGGUCCCCACCCAUCAUCUGUCACCACCAUCAAUCUGGCUACACCCUGUCUUCAUGCACACAGUUCAACUUGCCCUGCUGCACACACACAUUACGCACACACACAUUACGCGCGCACACACACACACACACACACACACACACACACACACACACACACACACACACACACACACACACACACACACACACACACAGCUCUGCUGCAUUGACACCGGUCCAAUUUUUUCGGGGGGCCAUGUUCUAAGUAAUUGCGGUCUUUUGAACAGCAUCAGAGCAUGUCACCUUUACAGUCACACACCCUGUGGCCUUUAGCUCCACACAUAACUGCAAAUACAGCCACAGCCUGCACUUUGUUUGACAUAACGCAGGUGAGAUGAAUCCACAAACACUUAUAUUAACCACAGUAACUGGCAUUGUCGUAUGUGUACAGGUGGAUAUUGUGGAUAUAGGGCGUCUCCUGCUGAAUGUUGUUUAUGAAACUGUGCCAGCUGUCUGUCUCAUUCAUUCUGCUGCUGCAGCAGCUGAGACCCAAAGGAGAGCUCCCUCUAGUGGUGGCAACUCACGAGGCUGCUGUUUUGCAGGAUCACCCAAAAUAAGUGGUAUCUUGUUCAUUUAGACUAGAUUAGACAAGAGGGUCACUUUAUCUGUUGUUUACUUUCACUUUGUGGAAGUGUGUUUAUUCAUCAGCUUUUAUGUUCAAGGCUAUGAGAUUCUCUUACUGAUAUUUUUAUGUCUGAAGGCAGAGGGAGACAAAUGGAAGAUGAAAAAAACUAACCAGGACAGAGGUUCAGAAAGCAUAGCUAUUUUUAUUUCCCUUCCUUUGGGUACACUGAGUUAUUCAGCAGUUUUGGCAAUGUCAUCUUUAGCUUCAGAUCUUUGUCUCUUUUUCCACUAAAAAGGAGCAUCAGUCAUCACUAGCAAAUGCAUUGAGAAGUCUUUCUUCUUACUGAAAAAACAAGUUCGGUUCAACAGCCAUUAAAAAACUCUUACAGCCUCCCUCUCGAUUCUUUCAGGUGAGAAUUGCACUGUAUUCUCGAUAUUUGGUGUUUCCUCAUCCUUGUGCAAGAUUGGCACGUGGUUACAUUUGCAAUCCUUAUUUGUUUGACUAACAAACAAGCACCCUGUGGAAAACAUGUUAACACACCAGUAAUUAGAAGAAGAAAAUUAGAAUGACAGAAUAUGCAUUACAUCUCUGAAUUAUCACACUUACAAUAAACAGUUUCAAUAGGAAACUGCUCCAAGAACCUGAGAUAUUCCUUUCCCUACCUUUUCUCCUCUGUCAUUGAAACUUCUAGAACCUACAUUACCCACAAUGCAUUUUAACCUCCAACAGUUUCUUACUUCACAAUCUCUGUUGCAGUCUUCAAUCAGACUUGAUGCAGCAGAAAUAAUGUGAAUAAAAAUGUGUGCAUUUUUUCCACACAUGCAGUCACAGGCUAAGAAUUUAAACAACCAGCAGAUGAUCACAAUUCUUCCUGCACAAAAGGUGUUUUUUUUCUGAAAAUAAUCUCAGUGAGAUUGUCAGUGGACAAAAGAACCAAAUAACCAAAACACUCAUGGUCACAGUGCACGUAGAAAAACCAUUUCCAUGCAAACAAAAACACGCUAACUACACACACGCACACACACGCACUCUUCACUACCAGAUAAUGUAAUGACACUUCUUUUGACACAUGCCCACACACUCACACACUCUGUAGGUCUGAGGAGGAUGGAGGGUGGAGGGGGGAUGAGCAAUCCAGUAAAAAGCAUUCCUCAGAGCCUCUCUCCUAGUGGGUGGCCUGUUCGGACACUGCAGCUCAUUUUCUCUAAAUCCUUCACUUCCAUUGUGUCUGUCCACGGCGCUGUCUGUCCACUGUUACACUCACAGACACACUUGUAUCCUUUAAACACUUCUUACUGCUUUAUCUGUUGUGUUUAAAUGGCAAAUGAUCCCUGACUGUUGUUGACACAGGUCUUUUAAAAACUGCUGCUUGUUUAUCAGUGGCUUAUGUACAUCUUAAAUAAAGGUUAUCUUGUGUUUAAACCAGAGCAUUCAUGAGUUUUCAUUGCAAAAUCAAGCUAGUCUGGCCCAAGUCUCUGAGCUGGAUUCAACGAUUCACUUGAUUUGCGUGAAAAGAGGAGCGACGUUGCACACUCAGUCAGCCGCUCAGCUACAUCCAGCCACGGCAAGCUAAAACUGGCAGCCACUCCAUCAUAUCUGACACUUGAAUCAGCCGCAGCUCUUAAUGCAUGAAUGGUGGGAUGCAUCUGCUUUUUGGCUAACCCCAAACCACAGCAGACCACAAGAAACCCACACCAGUUAUAGACAUGUUCCACACAUUCAGUGAGGCCCUGGGAACAAAAAGUAUCAAACUCACGAACCACCCACGACCGGCAGUACAUCAAAACUGGUUCUUCUACUUUCUAACUCCUGUAAAAGUUACUGUAUAUACCACUGUGCUUAAACUCAGAAAUUAACUCUAACACUCACUUUGGCCAAGGGGUAGACAAACCUAUUUAUCUCUUUGCCGUCAUCCUUUCCCAAAGACUUUUAACUGAAACAGUUAAGUAGUUAACCAUGCCUGUCAAACAGACAUAAAGACAUGUUUUCAAGAGGUGACGUUUCACCUCCAUGGGCAGUUUGCACGGCCCCAGGCUGUGGUGAAAAAAAAAAUUUUCAUUUCAUGCAAGUUGUCUUCCUGAAUCAUAGCUGCAGCAGAAGAUAAGAUAAGAUAAACCUUUAUUCAUCCCAUAGUGGAAAAAGAGCAAUUUAGGCAGUUUUUAAAAAUAUUUCUUGUUAAUAUUUACAAAAACGUAUGUUAUAUUUAGCACUCAGAUACUGUUCGGGUCAAAUUUGACCUGUUUUGACUUUUAACAGCAGUAAAAAUACCCUAAACGUCAUUCUUUAAGCCUGAAACUUGAUGACUUUUCCUGAAAUGGCCCAUAAUACAUGAAAUUAAUUUAAAAAUAUUCAUGUGUACUUUUGUUUAUGUGCUACACAUUUUUCCCCUCUAAGGCUGUUACCGGUCAAAUUUGACCCUUAUCUAUUUAGAUGGAUUUUAGAUCCAGCAGUGUGGGACAAGUGACAAAUAGAAACAACAGUGUUCAAUAUAAGGUUUGUUGUUCAAAAAGAUAUAUUCAAAUCAUUAUGAAACUAUCAUUACCUUGACACACACACACACACACACACACACACACACACACACACACACACACACACACACACA
Non-coding RNA from Xyrichtys novacula (pearly razorfish), 21305 nucleotides. NCBI's taxonomy places the organism in Eukaryota, Metazoa, Chordata, Actinopteri, Labriformes, Labridae. The record is from the annotation of a GenBank genome assembly.